UUCCGGUUGAUCCUGCCGGAGGCCAUUGCUAUUGGAGUCCGAUUUAGCCAUGCUAGUUGUACGAGUUUAGACUCGUAGCAUAUAGCUCAGUAACACGUGGCCAAACUACCCUACAGACCGCAAUAACCUCGGGAAACUGAGGCCAAUGGCGGAUACAGCUUCCACGCUGGAACUGCAGGAAGCUGGAAACGCUCCGGCGCUGUAGGAUGUGGCUGCGGCCGAUUAGGUAGACGGUGGGGUAACGGCCCACCGUGCCAAUAAUCGGUACGGGUCGUGAGAGCGAGAGCCCGGAGACGGUAUCUGAGACAAGAUACCGGGCCCUACGGGGCGCAGCAGGCGCGAAACCUUUACACUGCACGACAGUGCGAUAGGGGGACUCCAAGUGCGAGGGCAUAUAGUCCUCGCUUUUGUACACCGUAAGGUGGUGUACGAAUAAGAACUGGGCAAGACCGGUGCCAGCCGCCGCGGU
Molecule: ribosomal RNA, 469 nt
Filed under: uncultured archaeon
Lineage: Archaea
Description: bacterial SSU rRNA
Rfam family: Archaeal small subunit ribosomal RNA
Source: RNAcentral